GGAUAGUUGCCCGAGCGGUCGAAGGGGCUCGAUUGGAAAUCGAGUUUUCCCAGAAAUGGGGGACGAAGGUUCAAAUCCUUCACUAUCCGCCA
Molecule: transfer RNA, 92 nt
Filed under: Pseudomonas nitroreducens
Lineage: Bacteria; Pseudomonadati; Pseudomonadota; Gammaproteobacteria; Pseudomonadales; Pseudomonadaceae
Description: tRNA-Ser
Rfam family: tRNA
About the family: Transfer RNA (tRNA) molecules are approximately 80 nucleotides in length. Their secondary structure includes four short double-helical elements and three loops (D, anti-codon, and T loops).
Source: RNAcentral